CACGUAGGGUCCGAGCGUUGUCCGGAAUUACUGGGCGUAAAGUGCACGUAGGCGGACAUUUAAGUCAGGGGUGAAAUCCCAGAGCUCAACUCUGGAACUGCCUUUGAUACUGGGUGUCUUGAGUAUGGAAGAGGUGAGUGGAAUUCCGAGUGUAGAGGUGAAAUUCGUAGAUAUUCGGAGGAACACCAGUGGCGAAGGCGGCUCACUGGUCCAUUACUGACGCUGAGGUGCGAAAGCGUGGGGAGCAAACAGG
This 253-nucleotide ribosomal RNA is filed under the name uncultured bacterium. Its description in RNAcentral is "partial 16S ribosomal RNA". It matches the Rfam family "Bacterial small subunit ribosomal RNA", at positions 524 to 776 of the family's 1533-position model. The record is from RNAcentral.